UACAGAGGGGGCGAGCGUUGUUCGGAAUUACUGGGCGUAAAGGGCGCGUAGGCGGCCCGCUAAGUCGAACGUGAAAUCCCCAGGCUCAACCUGGGAACUGCGUCCGAUACUGGCAGGCUUGAAUCCGGGAGAGGGAUGCGGAAUUCCAGGUGUAGCGGUGAAAUGCGUAGAUAUCUGGAGGAAUACCGGUGGCGAAGGCGGCAUCCUGGACCGGCAUUGACGCUGAGGAGCGAAAGCCAGGGGAGCAAACGGG
RNAcentral lists this ribosomal RNA (253 nucleotides) under uncultured bacterium. RNAcentral's name for it is "partial 16S ribosomal RNA". It matches the Rfam family "Bacterial small subunit ribosomal RNA", at positions 524 to 776 of the family's 1533-position model. The record is from RNAcentral.